RNAcentral lists this transfer RNA (72 nucleotides) under Camelus bactrianus (Bactrian camel). It matches the Rfam family "tRNA". Rfam says of the family: Transfer RNA (tRNA) molecules are approximately 80 nucleotides in length. Their secondary structure includes four short double-helical elements and three loops (D, anti-codon, and T loops). Lineage: Eukaryota; Metazoa; Chordata; Mammalia; Artiodactyla; Camelidae. RNAcentral also lists the same sequence under 2 other names. The record is from Rfam by way of RNAcentral.
AGGGGUUUAGCUCAGUGGUAGAGUGUGUGCUUAGCAUGCACAAGGUCCUGGGUUCAAUCCCCAGUACUGCCA